UUCGCCCUUCCGGUUGAUCCUGCCGGAGGUUACUGCUAUCGGUGUUCGACUAAGCCAUGCGAGUCAAAUGUUCUUCGUGAACAUGGCGGACUGCUCAGUAACACGUGGAUAACCUGCCCUUAGGUUCGGCAUAACUCCGGGAAACUGGAGAUAAUUCCAAAUAGGUCAAAUAUGCUGGAAUGCUUUUUGGCCAAAAGACCUCGGUUGCCUAAGGAUGGAUCUGCGGUCUAUCAGGUUGUAGUGGGUGUAACGUACCUACUAGCCUACGACGGAUAUGGGUUGUGAGAGCAAGAGCCCAGAGAUGGAUUCUGAGACAUGAACCCAGGCCCUACGGGGCGCAGCAGGCGCGAAAACUUUACAAUGCGGGAAACCGCGAUAAGGGGACACCGAGUGCCAGCAUUUAUGUUGGCUGUCCACAUGUGUAAACGGCAUGUGUUAGCAAGGGCCGGGCAAGACCGGUGCCAGCCGCCGCGGUAACACCGGCGGCCCGAGUGGUAAUCACUUUUAUUGGGUCUAAAGGGUCCGUAGCCGGUUUGAUCAGUUCUUCGGGAAAUCUGACAGCUCAACUGUUAGGCUUCCGGGGAAUACUGUCAGACUUGGGACCGGGAGAGGUAAGAGGUACUACAGGGGUAGGAGUGAAAUCUUGUAAUCCCUG
Molecule: ribosomal RNA, 655 nt
Filed under: uncultured archaeon
Lineage: Archaea
Description: bacterial SSU rRNA
Rfam family: Archaeal small subunit ribosomal RNA
Source: RNAcentral